Molecule: ribosomal RNA, 327 nt
Filed under: uncultured eukaryote
Lineage: Eukaryota
Description: partial 18S ribosomal RNA
Rfam family: Eukaryotic small subunit ribosomal RNA
Source: RNAcentral
CCCUUAGAUGUUCUGGGCCGCACGCGCGCUACACUGACGAAUGCAACGAGCUUACAACCUUGGCCGAAAGGUCUGGGUAAUCUCCAAAUUUCGUCGUGAUGGGGAUAGAUUAUUGCAAUUAUUAAUCUUCAACGAGGAAUGCCUAGUAAGCGCAAGUCAUCAGCUUGCGUUGAUUACGUCCCUGCCCUUUGUACACACCGCCCGUCGCUCCUACCGAUUGAAUGGUCCGGUGAAGCGUUCGGACCGUGGCCUUUGGACGGUUCGCCGUCUGUUGGCUGCGGGAAGUUCGUUAAACCUUAUCAUUUAGAGGAAGGAGAAGUCGUAACA